Molecule: ribosomal RNA, 439 nt
Filed under: uncultured bacterium
Lineage: Bacteria
Description: partial 16S ribosomal RNA
Rfam family: Bacterial small subunit ribosomal RNA
Source: RNAcentral
CUACGGGCGGCUGCAGUGGGGAAUAUUGCACAAUGGACGAAAGUCUGAUGCAGCAACGCCGCGUGGAGGAUGACACAUUUCGGUGCGUAAACUCCUUUUAUAUCCCAAGAUAAUGACGGUAGGAUAUGAAUAAGCGCCGGCUAACUCCGUGCCAGCAGCCGCGGUAAUACGGAGGGCGCAAGCGUUACUCGGAAUCACUGGGCGUAAAGAGCGUGUAGGCGGGUUGAUAAGUUGGGAGUGAAACCCUAUGGCUUAACCAUAGAAUUGCUUCCAAAACUGUCAACCUAGAAUAUGGGAGAGGUAGAUGGAAUUUCUGGUGUAGGGGUAAUAUCCGUAGAGAUCAGAAGGAAUACCGAUUGCGAAGGCGAUCUACUGGAACAUUAUUGACGCUGAGACGCGAAAGCGUGGGGAGCAAACAGGAUUAGAUACCCCAGUAGUC